This 72-nucleotide transfer RNA is filed under the name Merluccius polli (Benguela hake). It matches the Rfam family "tRNA". Rfam says of the family: Transfer RNA (tRNA) molecules are approximately 80 nucleotides in length. Lineage: Eukaryota; Metazoa; Chordata; Actinopteri; Gadiformes; Merlucciidae. The record is from Rfam by way of RNAcentral. RNAcentral also lists the same sequence under 2 other names.
UCCUCGUUAGUAUAGUGGUCAGUAUCCCUGCCUGUCACGCGGGAGACCGGGGUUCAAUUCCCCGACGGGGAG